UGGUUCUCGCAUCGAUGAAGAACGCGGCGAAAUGCGAUAAGUAAUGUGAAUUGCAGAUUUCAGUGAAUCAUCGAAUCUUUGAACGCACCUUGCGCUCCUCGGUUUUCCGUGGAGCAUGCCUGUUUGAGUGCCCAGAAUACUCUCAAUCCUUACACCUUGUGUGUAUUGGAUUGGAAGGUGGGGGUUCUGCCGCCUGUCUUGGGUGGCUCCCCUUGAAUGCGUUAGCGGGACUGUACACGUAAAGUCUGCCCUUGGCUUGAUAUUAAUGUCGAUGCCGCGGUUGCGUCUUGGUGUUGUCCGCUUACAAUUGUCCUAGGACAAAUUUCUUUUGACUCGGGCCUCAAAUCAGGUAGGACUACCCGCUGA
RNAcentral lists this unclassified non-coding RNA (366 nucleotides) under uncultured fungus. RNAcentral describes it as "partial contains 5.8S ribosomal RNA and internal transcribed spacer 2". The stretch from base 1 to 133 matches the Rfam family "5.8S ribosomal RNA", at positions 22 to 154 of the family's 154-position model. The record is from RNAcentral. Lineage: Eukaryota; Fungi.